This is a non-coding RNA of Zea mays, 109 nucleotides long. The record is from Rfam. Lineage: Eukaryota; Viridiplantae; Streptophyta; Magnoliopsida; Poales; Poaceae.
AAUCUAGUAUUGACACCAAUCCACAUGGGUUGGGGUGGAUUGGGGUGUAAAUUAGUUUAAGUUACAUCACAAUCCACCUCAACCCAUGUGGAUUGGUGUCAAUACUAUA